This is an RNA transcript of Haliotis rufescens (red abalone), 2773 nucleotides long. It is a transcript of the gene named coiled-coil domain-containing protein 15-like, with no coding region annotated. The transcript is spliced from 12 exons. The record is from RefSeq and is a predicted model, not a curated record. NCBI's taxonomy places the organism in Eukaryota, Metazoa, Mollusca, Gastropoda, Lepetellida, Haliotidae.
AUGGCGGCGAAAACAAAAACAUUUGCGUCUGCCGGGAUGAAAGGAAUGAUGAAGCCCGUGAUCAGCACAGAUGUGAUGGGAAAUCGGAAUGUUGAAAUCAGGCCCGUCGGCGCCUGGGUCCAGCCUGCUACUGAACAGAUGAUCAACAGUCAUCCCAACGCAAUAGAGGCGGCAGUGGAGGAGGAGAAUCGGAUGUUUCAGAUGCAGAGGGAGAAAGAGGACCGACUGAGACGCUUCCAGGACGAGGUCAAGAGAAGGGUUCGGCAUCUGGACAGGCUGAAGAAGCAGCAGCAGGCACAGAUGGUGGUCAACGCUAUUGAGCGAGAACGGCUUAUAGUUAGACAGAGCACAUUGUCAGCUCAGCGUCAGUCCACUCGAAAAGACAGCUGUACAGUGAGAACCCACCCGGGCUUAAGUAUCAGGUCCAGGGCAGCUCCAAACACACAAGGAGGCUGGGCAAACAGUCAACCGUCUUCCCACACACAGGCCUUCUCGGACCAGACGAACCAGGUUCAUGAAUUCACCAGUGAGGCGAGACGCAAGCUCGGGGGCCGACAGAUACUGACGGACAACUUCAUCAGGGAUGAUCUGCCGGGAGGAGUGUGGAGGGUGUCCCAUACCAGAGAUCACCCAUCAUCUCGACACACGGUAGAAGGAGAUGUCCUUGACCUUGAUAGUGACAACAGCAGCGCUGAAGACACCGAGGACAGAGAUGAUGUGGAUGAAGAGAAGUACACACAUGAUGAAAAUGAGGAGGAAAGUGAAAACCGGUGGCGGCGACAGAUGAAGACGGUACACUUUGACCUUUCACCCCCACGGACAGAGACGCGACAUGAGAGGAUCCAGCGCCGCAGUGUGCCAACAAUGACAGGCACAGACCUUCAGCGCCCCGCCCCAGUCAUCCCUGUCCCCGACAUCUACACGGGGGUAACGAUGGAGGAGAACCGACGCAGACAGCGUAGUCAGACUGCACUCUACCGACGAAUGUUCAUGGACCAGGAACGGGAGCAGGUGAAGGAGAAUCUCCGACGACAGGAACAUCGAAAGCGGAUCCAAAAACUGAAGCAAGACAAGGAGGAGGCUCGUCAGGAAGAGGAGGAGCAGGCACUACGCCUUGUGCAGCCUCGAGACCCGGUGACCGGGGAGACAUCUGAUGAGGCCAUCCUCCGGGACCAGCUGGAGCAGUCUCACAUCCGGGACACCCUGCAACAACAUCAACACACCCGACGCCGACACAAGGAGAUGGAGAGAUAUGUAGAGGCAUUGCGUCACAACCUGCGUGAGAAGAUAGUGAAAAGAGGGGUACAGUUACCGCCCUUGUGUUGCUGUGGUGACUCGCUGUGGGACACCAACCCCGACACCUGUGCCAACAACUGUUUCUUCUAUAAGAACCCUAAAGCGUAUGCCAAGGCGCUGCAGUCUCUCCUGGUGUCCUGUGAAGUAGUCUGACCCUAGCUUCCCCAGCAGACCAAUAGGUCCAUCAACCACCAUCAACCACCAUCAUCACUGCAGUCUCUCCUAGUUCCUGUGAAGUACCGGUAGUCUGACCCUAGCUCCCCUAGCAGACCAGUACGUCCAUCAACCACCAUCAACCACCAUCAUCACUGCAGUCUCUCCUGGUGUCCUGUGAAGUAGUCUGACCCUAGCUUCCCUAGCAGACCAAUAGGUCCAUCAACCACCAUCAACCACCAUCAUCACUGCAGUCUCUCCUGGUGUCCUGUGAAGUAGUCUGACCCUAGCUUCCCUUGCAGACCAAUAGGUCCAUCGACCACCAUCAACCACCAUCAUCACUGCAGUCUCUCCUGGUGUCCUGUGAAGUAGUCUGACCCUAGCUUCCCUUGCAGACCAAUAGGUCCAUCGACCACCAUCAACCACCAUCAUCACCGCAGUCUCUCCUGGUGUCCUGUGAAGUAGUCUGACCCUAGCUUCCCUUGCAGACCAAUAGGUCCAUCGACCACCAUCAACCACCAUCAUCACCGCAGUCUCUCCUGGUGUCCUGUGAAGUAGUCUGACCCUAGCUUCCCUUGCAGACCAAUAGGUCCAUCGACCACCAUCAACCACCAUCAUCACUGCAGUCUCUCCUGGUGUCCUGUGAAGUAGUCUGACCCUAGCUUCCCUUGCAGACCAAUAGGUCCAUCAACCACCAUCAACCACCAUCAACCACCAUCAUCACUGCAGUCUCUCCUGGUGUCCUGUGAAGUAGUCUGACCCUAGCUUCCCUUGCAGACCAAUAGGUCCAUUAACCACCAUCAACCACCAUCAUCACAGUCACUGAGUAAUGCUUCCAGGAGCUAGACAUUUGAAUGAUGCAACAUGAUGCAGAGGAGAAUCAAUACUUAUUUAUACUGUUUGAUUUACAUUAGUUUUACCCUGAACAGUUAUCUGACAUGACUUUUAUCCAGAACACUUGUCUGAACAUAGGGUGGUUUCCCCAACAUCGGCCCAACCUUCAGGUUUAUUUUAGAGGGUUGUCGGACCAUCAGUUCUAUCCUGAUAAGGUAUCUGUCUAUCCCUUUUAUAUUGAACUGCUGAAAACAUUGCCUUUACUGUAUAGUUUUCCCCCCUUCAGCAAUUGAAGAGAGUAGGGGAGUGUAUGUUGUUUUAUGCCUCACCAAACUGACUAAAUCACUUUGAAACAGGCAAACCAGAAAUUGACAGCACUAGCAAUGACCCAUGCCAUUGGUGUAUUUUGACACACACAUGGUAUCCAUGUUAUCCCCAUCAGUCAGCUUUAGGACAGACAUAGGGACCAAUAGGGAUCUACCCAAACGGG